UACGUAGGGUGCGAGCGUUAAUCGGAAUACUGGGCGUAAAGCGUGCGCAGGCGGUUUUGUAAGUCUGUCGUGAAAGCCCCGGGCUCAACCUGGGAAUUGCGAUGGAGACUGCAAGGCUUGAAUCUGGCAGAGGGGGGUAGAAUUCCACGUGUAGCAGUGAAAUGCGUAGAGAUGUGGAGGAACACCCGAUGGCGAAGGCAGCCCCCUGGGUCAAGAUUGACG
RNAcentral lists this ribosomal RNA (222 nucleotides) under uncultured bacterium. RNAcentral's name for it is "partial 16S ribosomal RNA". It matches the Rfam family "Bacterial small subunit ribosomal RNA", at positions 524 to 745 of the family's 1533-position model. The record is from RNAcentral.